CAUGUUUUUGCCUCCAGCUAUUUUUUUCCUGUGCAAAACUGCUGUCUCAUGUUUUUUUUUUAUUUACAUGCUAAGGGAUCAACAGAGGAUUAGAUGUUUAAACAACACGUCAAGGAGAAAGCCAUAUAAUUGCAUAACAGAGUGGAUCUGUAUAGGAACAGGACUUCACUGACAGGACCGCCUGACAUUCUCCAAAGAAUUCCGGUUUCUGCAUACUAAUCUCGCAGAACGUCACUUCACCUCGUCCAGCUCAUGUUCGGCUGAUGGAGCUUUGACAACGUGCUGGAUUCCACAUAAACAUGAUGGUCCACUGAUCCAGUUCCUGUUUGCUGGGACACUCUAUAGUGAACGGUCAGUGGCGGCGAGACUACCUUAUCCUCAGGGAAACUCAGUGACUCAGCGCUGCUGCUCAGGUGGAUGUGAGUGUGUGUUUGUUGACCGUGUGUGAACGGUAAUGGUUGUUCAAUCACUCAGCAGCGUCUCUGACGUGUCUUCAGAGUUUGCUUGUGUCUGCGGACUGUUGGUUCAUUGAUGUGUCUUGUUUUUUGUGUUCCCAUGAUGUCUGGUAUAAAUAAUGAAGCCUUUCAUAGGGUUUUUUAUACUAAAGCAGUACCACAGUAUUAUUCCAGUGCACUAUUUAAAUGUAUUUGGUAGCACUAUGCAUAAGAUCAGCUGCUAAAUAAAUAAAUGUAAAAGUAAUCCAGUACCAUGACAUUUCAAUCUGAU
Molecule: long non-coding RNA, 726 nt
Organism: Puntigrus tetrazona (Sumatra barb)
Lineage: Eukaryota; Metazoa; Chordata; Actinopteri; Cypriniformes; Cyprinidae
Exons: 3
Source: RefSeq, a predicted model, not a curated record